CUACGGGACGCACCAGUCGGGAAUAUUGCGCAAUGGAGGAAACUCUGACGCAGUGACGCCGCGUAUAGGAAGAAGGUUUUCGGAUUGUAAACUAUUGUCGUUAGGGAAGAUAAAAGACAGUACCUAAGGAGGAAGCUCCGGCUAACUACGUGCCAGCAGCCGCGGUAAUACGUAGGGAGCAAGCGUUAUCCGGAUUUAUUGGGUGUAAAGGGUGCGUAGACGGGAAGACAAGUUAGUUGUGAAAUCCCUCGGCUUAACUGAGGAACUGCAACUAAAACUAUUUUUCUUGAGUGUUGGAGAGGAGAGUGGAAUUCCUAGUGUAGCGGUGAAAUGCGUAGAUAUUAGGAGGAACACCGGUGGCGAAGGCGACUUUCUGGACAAUAACUGACGUUGAGGCACGAAAGUGUGGGGAGCAAACAGGAUUAGAUACCCCUGUAGUC
This 440-nucleotide ribosomal RNA is filed under the name uncultured bacterium. Its description in RNAcentral is "partial 16S ribosomal RNA". It matches the Rfam family "Bacterial small subunit ribosomal RNA", at positions 339 to 795 of the family's 1533-position model. The record is from RNAcentral.